Molecule: long non-coding RNA, 699 nt
Organism: Syngnathoides biaculeatus (alligator pipefish)
Lineage: Eukaryota; Metazoa; Chordata; Actinopteri; Syngnathiformes; Syngnathidae
Exons: 3
Source: RefSeq, a predicted model, not a curated record
UUUGACCCGGUAAGAAGGUCUCAGGAGUUGUCGCAUGGCCAAUUAAGCAGCCAUUUCUGGCACAAAACAACACGAUGGCACUCUGUGUCUUGCACAAAUUGUGUGCAUUUGGUGUUUUCUGUAUAUUAACAAACUGCAAACUAUGUGAGUGUAAAAUGACUUUGUGUAGUUCACAGCUAAGGGUGGAGUGGAGUGUGGGGGGGGGAAUCAACAAACAAACAAUGUGCCGACUAGCUUCCAGAGCUAACUCAAACGCAUCCUGGCAACUUCUUCAACUGGCUGGCCUUAAAGGAAAACACUGAGGAUAUCGUACACAAACAAUAUCCAGAAUCAUCUGCUCGGCUUGACAUCUUUGACUGCUGGCUUAUGUACGAAAGAGGACACAUUGCUUGUGUGGAGAAACUGAGGGAGAGCAUCCACUGUCCAGAGCAGCCCAGCUCCGAAUCCACACAGAUGCUUCCUGCCUAUCCACCUGUCUGCUUGUCUGUCUUCUCUGGCCACUGAACAGAAUCGUCUGGGGAAUCACCCCUUCUGUUGGGGACGUGAAAGGUGAACCUAUGGAUGAUCAUUUGCAGCUAUAGUUGCCCCGAAAAUGUCUUGGACAAAUCAGCAGAAGAUUUUCUCCCUGGAGACAUAUUUUGCGACAAAAUCAUACCAGAGUGUACAGAUUCUGUUUCGAAAACGUUUCCAUUGUCCCAA